UACGUAGGGGGCAAGCGUUGUCCGGAAUUAUUGGGCGUAAAGCGCGCGCAGGCGGUCAUGUAAGUCUGGUGUAUAAGGCUGGGGCUCAACCCCGGAUCGCACUGGAAACUGUGUGACUUGAGUGCAGAAGAGGAGAGCGGAAUUCCACGUGUAGCGGUGUAAUGCGUAGAGAUGUGGAGGAACACCAGUGGCGAAGGCGGCUCUCUGGUCUGUAACUGACGCUGAGGCGCGAAAGCGUGGGGAGCAAACAGG
This 252-nucleotide unclassified non-coding RNA is filed under the name uncultured Paenibacillaceae bacterium. RNAcentral's name for it is "contains 16S-23S intergenic spacer region". It matches the Rfam family "Bacterial small subunit ribosomal RNA", at positions 524 to 776 of the family's 1533-position model. Lineage: Bacteria; Bacillati; Bacillota; Bacilli; Caryophanales; Paenibacillaceae. The record is from RNAcentral.